This 497-nucleotide ribosomal RNA is filed under the name uncultured bacterium. RNAcentral's name for it is "partial 16S ribosomal RNA". It matches the Rfam family "Bacterial small subunit ribosomal RNA", at positions 28 to 507 of the family's 1533-position model. The record is from RNAcentral.
GAUGAACGCUGGCGGCGUGCCUAAUACAUGCAAGUCGAGCGAACGGACGAGAAGCUUGCUUCUCUGAUGUUAGCGGCGGACGGGUGAGUAACACGUGGAUAACCUACCUAUAAGACUGGGAUAACUUCGGGAAACCGGAGCUAAUACCGGAUAAUAUUAUGAACCGCAUGGUUCAAAAGUGAAAGACGGUCUUGCUGUCACUUAUAGAUGGCCCCGCGCUGCAUUAGCUAGUGGGUAAGGUAACGGCUUACCAAGGCAACGAUGCAUAGCCGACCUGAGAGGGUGAUCGGCCACACUGGAACUGAGACACGGUCCAGACUCCGACGGGAGGCAGCAGUAGGGAAUCUUCCGCGAUGGACGAAAGCCUGACGGAGCAACGCCGCGUGAGUGAUGAAGGUCUUCGGAUCGUAAAACUCUGUUAUUAGGGAAGAACAUAUGUGUAAGUAACUGUGCACAUCUUGACGGUACCUAAUCAGAAAGCCACGGCUAACUACGUG